This 280-nucleotide small RNA is filed under the name Mycoplasmoides pneumoniae M129. RNAcentral's name for it is "Mycoplasma pneumoniae M129 ncRNA". Lineage: Bacteria; Bacillati; Mycoplasmatota; Mycoplasmoidales; Mycoplasmoidaceae. The record is from RNAcentral.
AUCGUGGAGAUUAAAACUUACAAAAUCAAAGAUAUUUGCGAUAUUAAACGCGGUAGAGUUAUCAGCAAAUUGGACAUUAAAAAAGAUCCAGGAGUUUUUCCUGUUUAUUCGGCAGCUACUAAUAACGAUGGGGAGUUUGGUCGAAUAAAUUCUUAUGACUUUGAUGGUGAAUAUGUUACUUGAACAGCUGACGGUUAUGGAGGGGCUGUUUUUUAUCGUAAUGGUAAAUUUAGCAUCACAAAUCUUUGUGGUCUUUUGAAAGUAAAAAAUAAAGAAAUUA